This 1134-nucleotide long non-coding RNA is filed under the name Triticum aestivum (bread wheat). RNAcentral's name for it is "long non-coding RNA (TAES_LNC013050)". Lineage: Eukaryota; Viridiplantae; Streptophyta; Magnoliopsida; Poales; Poaceae. The record is from RNAcentral.
AGAGAUUGGCCAGCGGCGCAGCCCCCAGUCCCCAUCCCGAUUCCUCUCCCUCUCCCUUUCCCUCGUCUGCCGCCGCCAGCACCACCACCGCCCUCCCCGCAGCCGCCGCCACCGCCGGCGCCCGGGUGUGGCGCUGCUCUUCCCCACGGUCCUGAUGGCAAGGCGGCGACAAGAGUUAGAAGGCGGACGCGGACGGCCCCGUCAGCUCUCGUCCCGAUGAAGUCAAGGACGAGCUCCACCCGGACGAGGUCGAUCCGCCCCCCUGCCACACUUCUCCAUCGCGUCACCAUAUUCGGAGGAGCCGCGACUGCUGCUCGCGCAUCUGCUCCUCCUGGAGUUGUCGCCAUCGGCAGGAGGAGUGCCGGACCGCGCGCCAACUCGAGGACCGCCGCUCCGGCGGCCCGUUGUUUCUGGCCGCCGUCCGCCUCUGGUGCCCCAUCCAUUCGCCACCAGUCACGCACCAGGUAGGAACUCAAGCUCCCUGCCUCUACAUGUUCCCAGGUACGGCAGAUCUUCAUCCCCUUUCUUUUCUAAUCUAUAUAUCAGAUAUGGUGGUGUGUGGCAUUUUUAGCUUGGCAGCUGUAGAUAGGAUCAUUUCAAAAGAUUCUUGGACACCCCUUUUAGUUGUCAUCCCUGGAUUAACCAGUGAUUCUGAUGCUGCUGUUAGUCUCUAACCUUUUUCUGAUGUUGACUUAUACAGUUAUACCUGCGUUGCAUAUUUGAAGAGAUCUAAGGUUCAUGAUUGGAUGACUUAUUACUAUAUUUGUAACCAUUCUGAAGAUUUAAUUGGCUAUUGCAGUAUGCAGAACACUUGGUUCAUUCCAUGGCAAGAAAAUGGUGGAAUGUUGUUGUAAGUAACCACAGGGAUCUCGGUGCUGUGUCCAUUAUAGUAAGUUCAGUUAUAUAAUUUACAUUUGCAGCUAUUAAUAUUUCACUCCACAAUCUUCCUGUACAGAUAAAAGGUCGCCUCCUGCUUGUGACCGCGCCAUGCCGCCUCACCCCGGCGCCUUCCAGCCGAGAAUGCCAUCUCCACCCGACCAGGUUCACCUCUCUCUCUCGCUCUCUCUCUCUCUCUCUCUCUCGCUCUCUCGCUCUCUCUCGCUCGCUCUCUCUCUCUCGCUCGCUCUCUCUCUN